This is a long non-coding RNA of Poecile atricapillus (Black-capped chickadee), 342 nucleotides long. RefSeq lists it as uncharacterized. The transcript has 3 exons. Lineage: Eukaryota; Metazoa; Chordata; Aves; Passeriformes; Paridae. The record is from RefSeq and is a predicted model, not a curated record.
AAAACCCCAAAAUUCCUCAUCCAGGUGUGUCCAGGAUCUCCUGGGGACAGGUGGAACAGGUCAGGAGCACACCAGGAACCAUCUGAGAUCCACCAGGAACCAUCUGAGAUCCACCAGGGACCACCUGGGACCUCCAAAAGCCACCCAAAACCCACCCAGAUCCAUCAAAACCCCAAAAUUCCUCAUCCAGGUGUGUCCAGGUGUGUCCAGGUGGUGGCCAGGAUCUCCUGGAGACAGGUGAGAAGAAUCUGGGACCACCUGGAACCACCUGGAACCACCUGAGAUGCCUCCAGGACCAGGAGAACCCCAAAAUUCCUCAUCCAGGUGUGGCCAGGAUUGGUG